This 253-nucleotide ribosomal RNA is filed under the name Segatella copri DSM 18205. RNAcentral describes it as "Prevotella copri DSM 18205 partial 16S ribosomal RNA". It matches the Rfam family "Bacterial small subunit ribosomal RNA", at positions 524 to 776 of the family's 1533-position model. Lineage: Bacteria; Pseudomonadati; Bacteroidota; Bacteroidia; Bacteroidales; Prevotellaceae. The record is from RNAcentral.
UACGGAAGGUCCAGGCGUUAUCCGGAUUUAUUGGGUUUAAAGGGAGCGUAGGCCGGAGAUUAAGCGUGUUGUGAAAUGUAGACGCUCAACGUCUGCACUGCAGCGCGAACUGGUUUCCUUGAGUACGCACAAAGUGGGCGGAAUUCGUGGUGUAGCGGUGAAAUGCUUAGAUAUCACGAAGAACUCCGAUUGCGAAGGCAGCUCACUGGAGCGCAACUGACGCUGAAGCUCGAAAGUGCGGGUAUCGAACAGG